RNAcentral lists this ribosomal RNA (679 nucleotides) under Leucanthemum vulgare. Its description in RNAcentral is "eukaryotic LSU rRNA". The stretch from base 272 to 427 matches the Rfam family "5.8S ribosomal RNA". Lineage: Eukaryota; Viridiplantae; Streptophyta; Magnoliopsida; Asterales; Asteraceae. The record is from RNAcentral.
AAGGUUUCCGUAGGUGAACCCUGCAAAGCAGAACGACCCGUGAACACGUAAUACAACCGAGCGUCGAGCGGGUUAAGCGCUAGUUUGAUCCUCUCGAUGCUUUGUCGAUGUGCAUUCACUUGAGUCCUCUUGGGCCUUGUGAAUGUGUCGUUGGCGCAAUAACAACCCCCGGCACAACGUGUGCCAAGGAAAACUAAACUUGAGAAGGGUUGUCUCAUGUUGCCCCGUUCGCGGGGGGCUCAUGGGAUGUGGCUUCUUUAUAAUCACAAACGACUCUCGGCAACGGAUAUCUCGGCUCACGCAUCGAUGAAAAACGUAGCAAAAUGCGAUACUUGGGGUGAAUUGCAAAAUCCCGUGAACCAUCGAGUUUUUGAACGCAAGUUGCGCCCGAAGCCUUUUGGGCGAGGGGACGUCUGCCUGGGCGUCACGCAUCGCGUCGCCCCCCACAAUUAUUUGUUAGGGGGCGGAUAUUGGUCUCCCGUGCUCAUGGCGGGGUUGGCCAAAAUAGGAGUCCCUUCCAUGGACGCACAAACUAGUGGGGGUCGUAAAAACCCUCGUUCUUUGUUUUGUGCCGACAUUUGCAAGGAAACACUCUUUUCUUUACCUAAUGCGUUGUCUUAAGACAAUGCUUCGACCGCGACCCCAGGUCAGGCGGGACUACCCGCUGAGUUUAAGCAUA